This 253-nucleotide ribosomal RNA is filed under the name uncultured bacterium. Its description in RNAcentral is "partial 16S ribosomal RNA". It matches the Rfam family "Bacterial small subunit ribosomal RNA", at positions 524 to 776 of the family's 1533-position model. The record is from RNAcentral.
UACGUAGGGGGCAAGCGUUGUCCGGAUUUAUUGGGCGUAAAGCGCGCGCAGGCGGCUGCGUGAGCUCGGCGUGAAAGCCCCCGGCUUAACCGGGGGAGGCCGUCGAGGACCGCGUGGCUAGAGGCCGGUAGGGGAGAGUGGAAUUCCCGGUGUAGUGGUGGAAUGCGUAGAGAUCGGGAGGAACACCAGUGGCGAAGGCGACUCUCUGGACCGGUCCUGACGCUCAGGCGCGAAAGCGUGGGGAGCGAUCCGG